Molecule: long non-coding RNA, 262 nt
Filed under: Mustela putorius furo (domestic ferret)
Lineage: Eukaryota; Metazoa; Chordata; Mammalia; Carnivora; Mustelidae
Description: lncRNA (ENSMPUG00000025769.1)
Source: RNAcentral
CACACUUUCCAUUCAGCCACUUGGUCUCGACCCUUUGAAGCGGGACAGUGGGCUGGAGGUCACGAGAAACACCAGCCUCUCUGUGCAGCCCCACUCAGCACGUGGAGCUGUGGACCCACCAGGACUCAAGUCCCAGAAGCCUGGCCUUUGGGGGAUUGGCCGGCACCCUCCCGUCCUCAGCGGAGGCUCAGCCUGGUGUCCUGCUCUGCAGCCCUGGUGACACUUUCCUCCCGGUGAGUCUGCCGCAGCGGGACACCACAUG